UCUUCCUCUCUUUUGCUAAACUCCUUCCCUACCUUCUCCUCCAAAUACCUCACCGUUUCUCAAGUCUCUAUAUCUCUCUGUUUCUACUUCUCUCUCUGAAAAGAACAGAGAGAAUAUCUAUUAUGGAUGAAAAAAUGAGGCAGGAGUUUCUUCAAGGCAACAUCAAAAACAUUAACAUUACCAUCUAUUGUGAGGAGACUACCAGUUUCUCUUCAAAACUCCUUUAUUGAUAUACCCCGGUGUUAUCCCUACCUGAGCUUUUUUUUUCUUUUUUUUUUUUUUCAACUCUUUUGUUCUAUUGAAUUAUUCUAUUUUCUUGACCUUGUAAGACCUUUUCUUGACCUUGUAAGACCCCACCCCCUUUUAAGUAUCUCAACCUUCUAUCCUUUUAAAGUCUCUCUACUAUCUCUUUUUGGUGUAGAAUGUGUAUGUAUCUCUACUCCUAGUUCAUUUGAGUCAGUUUUUCUACCUUGUCUAUCCCUUCUGAGCUAAAGUUUACAUAUUCUUGUUGGUCAUUGAUGUAAGGAGGUGAAAAAUGUCUCGCUAUCAUGGAUACUGGCAAAAAGUAAUGAAUAAGGAAACUGGCAAAAGGAAUUAUGCCUUUACUCUCUAUCUUUAAGGCUUUGGACAGGAAUUUACUUUUGUUUUAUAUGUUGUGUUUGUUUGGGUCUGACUGACCCCAAAGGCCAAAGCCGAACCAAAGAUCCCUCUUAUUAAAUAAUUCAUCAGAAUCAUUUAUUGCC
Long non-coding RNA from Raphanus sativus (radish), 743 nucleotides. RefSeq lists it as uncharacterized. Lineage: Eukaryota; Viridiplantae; Streptophyta; Magnoliopsida; Brassicales; Brassicaceae. The transcript is spliced from 3 exons. The record is from RefSeq and is a predicted model, not a curated record.